GAGAAAGGGAGGGAGUUAGGCUUGGAUCUAGGAGUCUUUGCGACCGUUGCGAGCUCGGCUACACGAUAGAAAAUUGUUGGUGGAACUUAUUGAGAAGUAAGGAACAAGCCGAGCCCUAUUUUGUACAAGGGGAACCCUUUUAGUACCAAAGGGUUGAGGUCCAGGCGAAGGAUCCAGUGGUGGACGGGAAAAGGAGCAAAGCUAGGGGUUUGCUUGUGAUUUGUAAAGAACUGCAACCCCUUUCUUUUGAGCAAAUAUAUUGUAAUGUAUUUAAGAUUAGGGUGCCAGUAGGAUAUGAUUAUGUGUGUGUGUGUGAAUAUGUGUGGAUUGUGUGCUUGUGUAUGAAUUUUUGUCUGUUUGCAGACUUGUGGCUAGGAAACUUGGUUAUGGUGUGUGGUUUUGAUGGAUUUACUUAGUAGACCAAGUUUCUAUUACAAGCAUAUCUUUAUUUUGAUAUAUAUGUGAUUUUAUAAGCAAAUGCAAAGUGGUUGCAUUGCAAAUGGUGUGCUAUGGGAAAACA
Prosopis cineraria is the source of this 520-nucleotide long non-coding RNA. RefSeq lists it as uncharacterized. The record is from RefSeq and is a predicted model, not a curated record. NCBI's taxonomy places the organism in Eukaryota, Viridiplantae, Streptophyta, Magnoliopsida, Fabales, Fabaceae. The transcript is spliced from 3 exons.